Non-coding RNA from Rattus norvegicus (Norway rat), 69 nucleotides. The record is from Rfam. NCBI's taxonomy places the organism in Eukaryota, Metazoa, Chordata, Mammalia, Rodentia, Muridae.
GGGGAUUUGGCUCAGUGGUAGAGUGCUUGCCUAGGAAGCGCAAGGUCCUGGGUUCGGUCCCCAGCCCCG